RNAcentral lists this long non-coding RNA (238 nucleotides) under Elaeis guineensis (African oil palm). RNAcentral's name for it is "long non-coding RNA (EGUI_LNC079004)". Lineage: Eukaryota; Viridiplantae; Streptophyta; Magnoliopsida; Arecales; Arecaceae. The record is from RNAcentral.
CCGCAAUAGCCGCAGGCAUCAGUGCGGCUGGAAAGAGCAUCGUCGGAGUUUCAGAAUCCGACGAUCAGGUAGGCCACUUGGGCCAGUCGCCCUGUCUUCCCCGGAAAGGGGAAGCAAAAGGCGGAGAGCCCUCCAUCCGAUCACGAUUCCACCCCCGGAGGGUCCCUACCUUUGUUCCACCAAAAGAUCCUCGAGACUCGCAAUCGAGAGGACCUCCUGGAUCAAAGAUUCCAGGAGA